Molecule: ribosomal RNA, 248 nt
Filed under: uncultured bacterium
Lineage: Bacteria
Description: partial 16S ribosomal RNA
Rfam family: Bacterial small subunit ribosomal RNA
Source: RNAcentral
GUUCCUGGCUCAGGAUGAACGCUAGCGGCAGGCCUAACACAUGCAAGUCGAGGGGCAGCGGGAUUGAAGCUUGCUUCAAUUGCCGGCGACCGGCGCACGGGUGCGUAACGCGUAUGCAACCUACCCAUAACAGGGGGAUAACACUGAGAAAUCGGUACUAAUAUCCCAUAACAUCAAGAGGGGCAUCCCUUUUGGUUGAAAACUCCGGUGGUUAUGGAUGGGCAUGCGUUGUAUUAGCUGGUUGGUGG